CUGACAUACUUAUUACGCUCUAGCAGCACGUAAAUAUUGGUGUAGUGAAGUCUUAAACCCCAAUAUUAUUGUGCUGCUUUAGCGUGAUAGGGAUUGUGCAG
Molecule: non-coding RNA, 101 nt
Organism: Ornithorhynchus anatinus (platypus)
Lineage: Eukaryota; Metazoa; Chordata; Mammalia; Monotremata; Ornithorhynchidae
Gene: MIR16B
Product: microRNA mir-16b
Exons: 1
Source: RefSeq, marked provisional